This 1314-nucleotide long non-coding RNA is filed under the name Papio anubis (olive baboon). RNAcentral's name for it is "lncRNA (ENSPANG00000048095.1)". The record is from RNAcentral. Lineage: Eukaryota; Metazoa; Chordata; Mammalia; Primates; Cercopithecidae.
AUGGGAGCGAAUAUUUUCCCACGCCAACAGGGAGGCCAGUUUCCGGCAGAGGGACUCGGCGGUGUGGGGAGCUACCCAGGAAGGGCUUGCAGCCUCCCAAGGGCAGCGUGUGCAGGCCAAGGGGGUCGGGUAGGGUUGAGCGGGGACUCACCCGGCAGAAAGGCGGCCCAAAUCCCCCUUACUUUUGCGUGUCAAUCCCUCUCUCCCAUUUUGCAUCCUUACUGCACCUCAGUCUCUCCCGUACAGCUGUCACGGAUCUGCGCUCCGAGCCUCCCCCCACCCCUGCCCAACCCCGGCAGGGAACACAGGCACACGCCUCCCUCGGAAAAGUUGGGCGGACACUUCAGGACUUUUCUUUCACUUUGGGGAGAAGGAAGAAGUUGGAGAAGUGGGGGCGGGGGGUGUGAAAGCACUGGGCCAUUCUCUGCAACAUCUCCCCGCGCCCCUCCAACAAGUAGUCCCUCCGCGUGCACACAACGAGGUGACAGCGCCGGGCACCAAACUGCUGAGGGAAGGAGAUGCCUGCAGCCAUCUCAGCUGGGCUGGCGGACGCGACCCGACAGUCACCGGAAAAACAGUGUCGGUUUUCCCCAUCACCUCCCCUCCCCAUCCCACAAUAAAGCGCACGGAAGCUGUCUGCGCGUACCCUGCCCUGCCGCAGGAGCUGAGGAGGAGAGCGAUCUCACCCCUCCAUCCCUCCGGCAGGUGGGCUGCGGUCAGGUACGUUUGGUCCGCAAGUCCUUUUCGGACACAUUGGCAUCUGCUCCCACAGAGCGCCCCAGCAGAACCUGGUCACUGGGGACUCCCAGAGGGGCGGUAGCCACCGCACAGAAGCCAGCGGCAUCCCCCAAGGAGCCGCAAGCCCUACCUGGCUUAACCCCCGGACGUGUGUGUAGCUACCGAUCGAAGAACCCAAACACCCCGAGAGUUCCCUCCUCUAGGCAAGUGAAAACCCCACCGAACUCUCCGCAGCGCUGCCCGCCCAGCUGGCCGUGUCUCGCAGUCCCCGAGGCCACGGGGGCUCCUAGAACCUCCACCCACCUGUGCGGGCUCGGGAGUACUAGGGCGCCGACAGCUGCUGCCGCCGCAUCCCUUAUCUCCAAAGUGCGGCGGGAACGGCCAGGGGACCUGCAGGACACCGCCGGGCCAGCGGGCUUGAGGAGGUCCGGGGGCCCCCGGCGCCGCUUCCCUCCUUACCUGGCGCUCGCUGGGCCCCGGCUGGGGCAUCCGCCGGGUGCGCGCCGCUCCGAGCGCUCGCUGCGCACCUGGCCGCAGACACCGCCCGCUCGGCCCCAGCUCUGGCCGCCGCGCUAG